GACGUAGUUUGGUGACGUGAGGUGGCGGACGGGUUUUUUGAGUAACGCGUGAGGAACCUGCCUUUCAGAGGGGGACAACAGUUGGAAACGACUGCUAAUACCGCAUGACACAUUGGGGUCGCAUGGCCCUGAUGUCAAAGAUUUAUCGCUGAAAGAUGGCCUCGCGUCUGAUUAGCUAGUUGGUGAGGUAACGGCCCACCAAGGCGACGAUCAGUAGCCGGACUGAGAGGUUGACCGGCCACAUUGGGACUGAGAUACGGCCCAGACUCCUACGGGAGGCAGCAGUAGGGAAUAUUGCACAAUGGAGGAAACUCUGAUGCAGCCAUGCCGCGUGUGUGAAGAAGGCCUUCGGGUUGUAAAGCACUUUCGGAGGGGAGGAAAAGAUGACGUUACCCUCAGAAGAAGCACCGGCUAACUCCGUG
Molecule: ribosomal RNA, 422 nt
Filed under: uncultured bacterium
Lineage: Bacteria
Description: bacterial SSU rRNA
Rfam family: Bacterial small subunit ribosomal RNA
Source: RNAcentral